CAAUAGCGUAUAUUAAAGUUGUUGCAGUUAAAAAGCUCGUAGUUGAACCUUGGGCCUGGCUGGCCGGUCUGCCUCACCGCAUGCACUGGUCCGGCCGGGCCUUUCCCUCUGGGGAUCCGCAUGCCCUUCACUGGGUGUGUCGGGGAACCAGGACUUUUACUGUGAAAAAAUUAGAGUGUUCAAAGCAGGCCUAUGCUCGAAUACAUUAGCAUGGAAUAAUAGAAUAGGACGUUGCGGUUCUAUUUUGUUGGUUUCUAGGACCGCCGUAAUGAUUAAUAGGGACAGUCGGGGGCGUAAGUAUUCAAUCGUCAGAGGUGAAAUUCUUGGAUCGAUUGAAGACUAACUACUGCGAAAGCAUUCGCCAAGGAUGUUUNCAUUAA
This 380-nucleotide ribosomal RNA is filed under the name uncultured eukaryote. Its description in RNAcentral is "partial 18S ribosomal RNA". It matches the Rfam family "Eukaryotic small subunit ribosomal RNA", at positions 592 to 976 of the family's 1831-position model. The record is from RNAcentral.